RNAcentral lists this ribosomal RNA (367 nucleotides) under uncultured bacterium. RNAcentral describes it as "bacterial SSU rRNA". It matches the Rfam family "Bacterial small subunit ribosomal RNA", at positions 527 to 896 of the family's 1533-position model. The record is from RNAcentral.
GUAGGUGGCAAGCGUUGUCCGGAUUUAUUGGGUUUAAAGGGUGCGUAGGCGGCCCUGUAAGUCAGUGGUGAAAUAUCUCAGCUUAACUGAGAGGGUGCCAUUGAUACUGCAGGGCUUGAGUACAGAUGAAGUAGGCGGAAUUGACGGUGUAGCGGUGAAAUGCAUAGAUAUCGUCAAGAACACCGAUAGCGAAGGCAGCUUACUAAGCUGUAACUGACGCUGAGGCACGAAAGUGUGGGGAUCAAACAGGAUUAGAUACCCUGGUAGUCCACACUGUAAACGUUGAUGACUCGAUGUUGGCGGUACACAGCCAGCGUCCAAGAGCAAUCGUUAAGUCAUCCACCUGGGGAGUACGCCGGCAACGGUG